RNAcentral lists this transfer RNA (71 nucleotides) under Pyrenophora seminiperda CCB06. Its description in RNAcentral is "tRNA-Ile (GAT) (tRNA-Ile-GAT-2-1)". It matches the Rfam family "tRNA". From Rfam's summary of the family: Transfer RNA (tRNA) molecules are approximately 80 nucleotides in length. Their secondary structure includes four short double-helical elements and three loops (D, anti-codon, and T loops). The record is from RNAcentral. Lineage: Eukaryota; Fungi; Ascomycota; Dothideomycetes; Pleosporales; Pleosporaceae.
CGCCCUUUAGUCUAGUGGUAAGACGGUCCCUGGAUGUGGGGCAGACCGGAGUUCGAUUCUCCGAGGGGCGA